AAGUUCCGACCUGCACGAAUGGUGUAACGAUGGCCAAGCUGUCUCCACCCGAGACUCAGUGAAAUUGAAAUCGCUGUUAAGAUGCAGCGUAUCCGCGGCUAGACGGAAAGACCCCGUGAACCUUUACUAUAGCUUCACAGUGAACUUUGAACCUAUUUGUGUAGGAUAGGUGGGAGGCUUUGAAACCAGGUCGCUAGAUCUGGUGGAGCCAUCCUUGAAAUACCACCCUGGUAUGUUUGAGGUUCUAACUCGGGUCCCUUAUCGGGAUCGAGGACACUGUGUGGUGGGUAGUUUGACUGGGGCGGUCUCCUCCCAAAGAGUAACGGAGGAGCACGAAGGUGCGCUAAGCAUGGUCGGACAUCAUGCGGUUAGUGUAAUGGCAUAAGCGCGCUUAACUGCGAGACAGACACGUCGAGCAGGUACGAAAGUAGGUCAUAGUGAUCCGGUGGUUCUGUAUGGAAGGGCCAUCGCUCAACGGAUAAAAGGUACUCCGGGGAUAACAGGCUGAUACCGCCCAAGAGUUCACAUCGACGGCGGUGUUUGGCACCUCGAUGUCGGCUCAUCACAUCCUGGGGCUGAAGCCGG
Molecule: ribosomal RNA, 585 nt
Filed under: Oleiphilus sp. HI0078
Lineage: Bacteria; Pseudomonadati; Pseudomonadota; Gammaproteobacteria; Oceanospirillales; Oleiphilaceae
Description: bacterial LSU rRNA
Rfam family: Bacterial large subunit ribosomal RNA
Source: RNAcentral